CAUUUGGAUUAAUACAAACUGCCUUAACGGCCAUGGUGAUAGCGCAUGUUGCUGGAACACCAUUGUCUUCAUCUUCCUUUGCAUGCAAAAAUCAGCCCAUUUCUUCUUCUGUCCCACAACUUCAGAAAAUCUCUGCAUCUGCCCCUUCAUCAGCAUCAUCAAGAACAGCUACAAGAAGAAGAGCUUUAUCUGUUUUUGUACUCACCACAUCACUCUCAGGCUUAAUACAACAAUUGUCACUUGACAAUUCUUCAACUUCUUGGUCCAAACCCACAGGGCAGAAUUUUGUAGAGCUUCCCAAUUCAGGUGGGGUCAAGGCCUUGGACCUUCGCUUUGGUGAUGGAGCAAUUCCUGCUGAUGGUGAUAAGGUUGCAAUUCAUUACUAUGGAAGGUUAGCAGCAAAACAAGGAUGGCGAUUUGAUUCUACAUAUGACCACAAAGAUGCGACAGGCGAACCAAUUCCUUUUGAGUUCAUCCUUGGUUCAGGAAAAGUCAUAUCUGGAAUCGAAUCAGCAGUCAGAUCAAUGAACGUGGGAGGCAUUCGUCGUAUCAUUAUUCCACCAUCUGAAGGAUAUCAGAGCACAUCUCAAGAACCCAUUCCACCUAAUUUUUUUGAUAGGCAGAGGCUCUUUACUACCAUUUUCAAUCCAACUCGUCUUGCCAACGGAGAAGGAUCAACAUUGGGGACCCUAAUAUUCGAUAUAGAGUUGGUCAGCUUAAGACACUGAUAUUUAGGUUGCCUGCAGCUACAAUUUUCAGCUGAAGCAGGAAGUGCAAAAGGAAUAGAAUACAGAUGGUGAUCUAUGUCACCUUCUAUCUACUGUGAUUGGUAUUACCAGUCAUAGCAAGAUAAAAAAUGUAUUCACAUUCUUACAUGAAGGAAAUUUGACUACCUGCUGACAGAUAGAGUGAAAAAAUUGACUGCAUAUCAAUUUGAAAAGAAGGAAUUUUAGCAUGAGAUGAGUUGACAGAGUUGACUGAGCCUAAGUAAACCUGAGCAGCUGCAACAUCUGGAAUAAGGAUCUUUUCACUUGCUUGAAGUUAAUGAAAAAGUUGUCAGUGAGCGAUCCUAGCCUACAGAAACAUAUGUAAGAAUACAAGUUGUUUACUUUCAGCGAUUGGCAAUUUGUUGCUUGGAGUACAAGAUAGUAGUUUCCGUUACUCAUUUCAUUUUGCUUCCGGUGUUUCUCAAUACAUUUUGGGUUCGGUAGUUGACUUGAAAGAAUUCUAAGAUAUUGUUACCUGGGUUUUA
Molecule: RNA transcript, 1252 nt
Organism: Coffea eugenioides
Lineage: Eukaryota; Viridiplantae; Streptophyta; Magnoliopsida; Gentianales; Rubiaceae
Gene name: peptidyl-prolyl cis-trans isomerase FKBP17-1, chloroplastic-like
Exons: 6
Source: RefSeq, a predicted model, not a curated record